RNAcentral lists this ribosomal RNA (382 nucleotides) under uncultured eukaryote. RNAcentral describes it as "partial 18S ribosomal RNA". It matches the Rfam family "Eukaryotic small subunit ribosomal RNA", at positions 592 to 976 of the family's 1831-position model. The record is from RNAcentral.
CAAUAGCGUAUAUUAAAGUUGUUGCAGUUAAAAAGCUCGUAGUUGGAUUUCUGGUUGAAGCGACCGGUCGGGCGUUGAUUCGUCUGCACUGGAGUCGGUUUUGGCCAUCCUCUAGGAAAGUGCGUCUGGUAUUAAGUUAUCGGGCGUAUGAUCCUGGUCUUUUACUGUGAAAAAAUUAGAGUGUUUAAAGCAGGCCUUCGCCUUGAAUACAUUAGCAUGGAAUAAUAAGAUAGGACUUUGGUCUAUUUUGUUGGUUUGCAGACCGAAGUAAUGAUUAAUAGGGAUAGUUGGGGGUAUUUAUAUUCCGAGGUCAGAGGUGAAAUUCUUAGAUUUUCGGAAGAUAAACUUAUGCGAAAGCAUUUACCAAGGAUGUUUUCAUUAA